RNAcentral lists this transfer RNA (70 nucleotides) under Ovis aries (sheep). It matches the Rfam family "tRNA". Rfam says of the family: Transfer RNA (tRNA) molecules are approximately 80 nucleotides in length. Their secondary structure includes four short double-helical elements and three loops (D, anti-codon, and T loops). Lineage: Eukaryota; Metazoa; Chordata; Mammalia; Artiodactyla; Bovidae. The record is from Rfam by way of RNAcentral.
CCUGGUGGCUCAGUUGGUAAGAGCAUCUGCCUAUGAUGCGGGAGACCCAGGUUCAAUCCCUGGGUCAGGA